UAUUAAAGGUUUAAAGAUGUACAGCCUAUCAAAGAAAGAGAUCAUUGAGCCUAUUUAGCCGGGCUGGGAAUCGCAAGAAUCGAGAAGUCCUCCAUUGAAUUUUUUGGGGUGGGAAAAACAGGUUCGGAAAUGGCCGGAUUAGCAUGAGGUUUUUAU
Molecule: long non-coding RNA, 156 nt
Organism: Telopea speciosissima
Lineage: Eukaryota; Viridiplantae; Streptophyta; Magnoliopsida; Proteales; Proteaceae
Exons: 3
Source: RefSeq, a predicted model, not a curated record